UUAAGGGAAGUCCAGCCCAAGACAAAAGAUUGAACACUUGCAAGUAUGUCUAAGAUGCCAUGGGCAUCAUUAAUACUAUUAUUUGGUUAUUUAAGGUGUUUGAACACCUGGUCCACAGGGCACCAGGUUUCUACUCUGAACCUAGCCUCCUUCUCAAGGCCUGUCCAUGAACAGAGAGCAUCUUGCUGUCUCUUUAAGCCUGGCACUCAUCCCUUGCCUAGAUUCACAACUCAAGAUCUCUUGCCCCCUGCCACGCAGGAGUCUGUUUCCCAGUGGCCCUAGCUGACAGGAAACAUCCCUUUUGCUGAAACAGCCCACCAUUUCCUUUCCUGAGAUCCUGGACACUAGCCAUCAUUACAAAGAUUAGAGGUCGGCAGAGGGAAGUCUCCAGAUGCACCCCAAACAGAAGCAAAGCAUUUCUACAGCAAAGGAGAAGCCGCACGCACUGUCUUCUGCCUAACCCAAGGCUUGCAGAAAUGCCUGACUCAUCACCGUGCUUUUACAUGCUCUUCAUCACGUGUAGCACAGCAGAGCCUGGCUGAUAACAGCACUGUGACAGCAAUUAGAUAGAUAAUCGGCUGGCUGGACUCCUAGAACUCAUAUCAGACAGUGACAGAAGCCUGCCUGCCCUCCCUACCCAUCAGGAGGACUUUCAACAUAGCAGUCACCCAGACUGGCACAUGUGAUCUCUAUCUACACACCCCAGCAUGUGAGGAGACCAUAUCUCAACUCUCCUUCCCUGAGAUAAAUGUGGAACAGACACCUUAUCUCUCUCUAUUUCACUGCCUCCCUCGGCCCCCCCUUCUGGGAACAGUCCCCCAAGAGGGACAAUCAAAUCAUUUCAACGCUUGUCAGAAUGCACCAACCUCCCUCUGUGCCAUCAGUGCAGAGCGACAGAGCGCUGGGACACAACCUCCUCUGUGAGUUGGUGCCACCCCUCUGCUGCUCAAAGGAGCUGCCUACCACACGACAACCAAAUCACAGCCACCUCCAAGGACAAGGUUUACAGUGGGAUCCGGGCCUCCCUGGGCCGAGAGCUGGUCUCUGAGAACUCAUCGAACUUAACCAGAUGGUGGGACACCUGAGCUCAUGCUACGACCUCAGGGCUCCUCAGAGUUCAGCCAUGGGAGGCUCCCCAUGAACACACAGUCCCGAGCUUCACCUCUGUCUCUGACUCAGCAGGGCCUGAGCAGGCUCUGCUCCCAGCUGGGUUUGGUGCAGCUGGACCUCUAUCCACACUCUGAGCAUCAUCGUAGGGAGCAAGUGGAGUCCUGUGUGUGUGAUGUUUGAUACAGGCACAGCAGUGUCGAGGACCCAAUGCCUUAGACCAGUGGGAGCAGCCAAGCCUUCCCUGGGUGAGGCUCAGGGGGGUGGCAAAGCCUUCCUCUGGUCCACAUGUGGUGUGUACAGAAGACAUCUACCAUCGCUGUCUCCCUCCCAACACUCCCACCCCUGUGUACAGACUGUCCCCCCACAGAGACUGAACCUACAGAGAUCAACUAAAGCUGCCUCCUUGUUCAGCUGCCUGUAUAUGAUAUACAGUGUGAUAUACUACCCAUAUAAUAACCCUGCCUUCUUAAUUAUCUAUAUGCAACAGCCCCACCUCUCUGUUCAACUCUAUAAUAAACAAGCUCAGCUUCCAGGUGCUGCAGUAUCUCCGUCAGGGAGCCCAGACCAUCCGAUCCCAGCUCUUCUGCACUGGAUGUUCUGAGCAGGUGACAGCUCCCACCUAUUAAGGCCUUCCUGUGACACAAGAACUGAUUCCCAGGGGCUCCAACAGAAAGGCACAGAAAGGUUCAACCAUUUUCCCACAGCUCCCAAGCUAGGAGGCGACAGAGUAAGAUUCCAGCCCAGUCCCACUUCUCCGACAUCUGCAACAACCAUGCCUGACCCACAGGUGUGCCCUGGCCCCUCAUGGCCACCCUGGACCUGGACACACUUGCAGUGGAUCCAUAUCCCCAGGUGCCCCCUCUUCCCCAGCCUUCCCUGCUCCAACACAACUCACUGCCAAGAUCGCAGUCUCUUUUUGUUUUCUAAUUUAACAGAGAGUACGUCACCAUUUGCCUGUCUCUGCAGGUACAAUCCAGGGAGAUUGUGUACAAUCAUACGGUUACACUGCUGUCGCCCCGGACCAUCACCAAAACUUUCCCACCUUCCUGAAUUAGCACUACGCUUAAUAAACCACAGCUCCAAAUUGUCCCCUCUAUCCAACGCCUUGGCAACACUCUACUCCUCGGCACUUGGCUACUCUGGGCAUCUUGUAUGAGGGCGUCACCUAGCAUGUGUCCUAUCUGGGACAGGCUGAGUCCACUUAGCUUAAUGUCCUCCAGCUUCACCCAAACUGGAGCAUUGGUUAGAAUCUUCUUCACUUUAAUUAAUCUUCUAAUAUUCCAUUGUUUAUACACACCAUAUUUUGUUAUUACAUUCAUCUAUUAACAGAAACUUAGCCUAUUUUCACCUUUGAUUACUGUGAAUAAUGCUGUUGUAAACAUGGAUGUGAAAAUC
Molecule: long non-coding RNA, 2505 nt
Organism: Peromyscus californicus insignis
Lineage: Eukaryota; Metazoa; Chordata; Mammalia; Rodentia; Cricetidae
Exons: 3
Source: RefSeq, a predicted model, not a curated record